GAUGAAGAACGCAGCGAAAUGCGAUACGUAAUGUGAAUUGCAGAAUUCAGUGAAUCAUCGGAUCUUUGAACGCAUAUUGCGCUCUCUGGUAUUCCGGAGAGCAUGCUUGUUUGAGUAUCAGUAAACACCUCAACUCCCUUUUCUUUUUUGAAAUUGGAGCUGGACUUGAGUGAUCCCAACGCUUUCUUCCAAGAAAGUGGCGGGUUGCUUGAAAUGCAGGUGCAGCUGAACUUUUCUCUGAGCUAUAAGCAUAUCUAUUUAGUCUGCCUAAAAAACAGAUUAUUACCUUUGCUGCAGCUAACAUAAAGGAGACUAGUUCUUGUGCUGACUGAUGCAGGAUUCACAGAGACAGCUUCGGCUGACUUUGUAAACUCGAUCUCAAAUCAAGUAAGACUACCCGCUGAACUUAAGCAUAUCAAUAAGCGGAGGA
This 430-nucleotide unclassified non-coding RNA is filed under the name soil metagenome. Its description in RNAcentral is "partial contains 5.8S ribosomal RNA, internal transcribed spacer 2, and large subunit ribosomal RNA". The stretch from base 1 to 120 matches the Rfam family "5.8S ribosomal RNA", at positions 35 to 154 of the family's 154-position model. The record is from RNAcentral.